UACGAAGGGAGCAAGCGUUGCUCGGAUUUAUUGGGCGUAAAGGGUGUGUAGGCGGUUUGAUAAGUUAGAUGUGAAAGCCCAGGGCUUAACCCUGGAAUUGCAUUUAAGACUGUUGAACUUGAAGAUCGAAGAGGUAAGCAGAAUUCCCAGUGUAGAGGUGAAAUUCGUAGAUAUUGGGAAGAAUACCAAUGGCGUAGGCA
RNAcentral lists this ribosomal RNA (200 nucleotides) under uncultured bacterium. RNAcentral describes it as "partial 16S ribosomal RNA". It matches the Rfam family "Bacterial small subunit ribosomal RNA", at positions 524 to 723 of the family's 1533-position model. The record is from RNAcentral.